RNAcentral lists this long non-coding RNA (740 nucleotides) under Nicotiana benthamiana. RNAcentral's name for it is "long non-coding RNA (NBEN_LNC028203)". The record is from RNAcentral. Lineage: Eukaryota; Viridiplantae; Streptophyta; Magnoliopsida; Solanales; Solanaceae.
CACUAAUCACCACUAUUAGCAGUAAAAUAAAGAGAAGGGAAAGGUAUUGAACCUAAUUUUCUUCCGAUUAAAUUUGUGUAUAAGCAUACAAAGAAGGCCCGGGAACCAAACUCGGCCCUUAAACUUGAAACAACAUCUAAAUCGACAGGAACCUCAAAAAUGAACACGGACAGAAACCUGAAUUGGCACCGAAAAACUGAAAACCCAAAACGAUCUCAAACAAACUCCAUUUCUGAAAACUAAAAUUGAAAUCGGAAGGACAGAAUCAGAAACAAAUCUAUAUUUUUUUGUAUUUUCUGAGAUUUAAACUAAACAAAAAAAGUAAGAUUGAAAAUGAAAAAAAAAAACCCACCUUUUUGAAACCCUAGUUUUUUAUCUCCCAAUUCUCUAUCCGAAUCCCAAUUUUUGUGUCCAGAAACCUCUCCCAAAAUCUUAAAAAAGUAAGAUUGAAAAUGAAAAGAAAACCCACCUUUUUGAAACCCUAGUUUUCUAUCUCCCAAUUCUCUAUCCGAAUCCCAAUUUUUGUGUCCAGAAACCUCUCCCAAAAUCUUAAAAUAAGACAAUAUUUAGAGGGUCUCAAACUCUCUUCUCCUUCCUCCUCAAAAAUCCGAAAAUCAUCCACUACCAAGUAGGUGUGUGGUUGAAUACAAGGUAGGGUGUGGCUGCUAAGGUUUGUAUAGGUUAGGGCUUUGGGAAAAUAAUUUUUAUGGGGUGUGAGAAGGAAUAAUAGUCAUUAUUAG